This is a long non-coding RNA of Carassius gibelio (silver crucian carp), 5223 nucleotides long. RefSeq lists it as uncharacterized. The transcript is spliced from 3 exons. NCBI's taxonomy places the organism in Eukaryota, Metazoa, Chordata, Actinopteri, Cypriniformes, Cyprinidae. The record is from RefSeq and is a predicted model, not a curated record.
AACAGGUCUGAUCUGUGAUAUUUGCAUCGCACAUGCGUAUUAGCGCCCUCCUCUAUCGAUCGUGGGACAUUUGAAGUUCCUCAGUUCAUGCGCUUCUCCAGUCCGAAGAUAUUUUUUCUUCCAAGAAAAAAAUCACAGCAUAUUCAGGCAGGGAUUACUUAUAUGCUGGAGGAAAUAAAGACGUCUUUUGCAAAAGCAGACUCUGAGUCUAUAAAAAGUAAUGUUAUUGUAAUUGUUUCAUGUCCCUUAUUUUGUCCAUAUUCUAAUUUGAAUUGUUUCUGUCUCUUAUCUGAAUUAUUUUUUAUUCAGCAUGUUGCAGGACUUACUAUGAAACACUGCGGAGGAAAUACACUUUGUCUCUACCCGAAAAGUUACAGAUUAGGGACUCCAUUAAGGCAGUGGCUAAAAUAAGGAGUAAGUGUAGAAAUUCAUCCCUGUAUUAAGUUUGGUACAUCUCUGGGUGUUUUUUGUUGUGAAGUUGCUGGAGUCUGGGUCCAGGGUCAUUCAAACAGAUGCAGAGAGAGAACUGUAGCAGACAGCAACGCUGGAACUGAUGUCUGAUGAGGAGGAUGUCAUUGCUGACGGAAGGCCGGUGUGGGCUGUGAGAUCUCCACCUCACAGGAGACCACAGUUGUCAUCUUCAGCGCAGAUUGGAGGUAGAUGCACGCUACGUUCUUUCACACCAUCAGCGUGUAAGACCUAAUGAAACUGAGCCUGAAGGACAUUGAUUUUUGGAACUCUAAGAAGCACGGGUUCAUCUGUGACUGCUCCUCGGGUGAUAAAGUGCUCCAAAUGUCACUGGAUAGCUUAAAUGCAGAGGUCACAUUCCAAGUAUGGGUUACAUUGGUUAUUAUGUCACUUUCACUUCACUUUUAUAUUGUGUUUUAGUAUUUAGUGUUUAAUAUUUUAGCUUUUAGAACUGUAUAAAUAUAAUUGCACCUUUAUAAUUGCACAUUUGCUUCCUAAUUCUUACCUACUUGCUUUAUACAUUUAUUAGAUUUGGACAGUUCCAUAUUCUGUAACUUUGUUGAUAUUGCUUUGUGUUUGGUUGCUUUGUAUGUGUGUGGUUUGAUUUUAGUUUCAGUUCAGUUCCAUAUUCUAUAGCAUUCUAAUAUAUAUAUAUAUUUUAAUUGCUUUGUUUUGUUGAUUUAAAUAAGUGUUUUGUUUACUAAAAUAAACUGUAUAGUUUCAUAUUUUAUAACCUUCUAAUAUUGCUUUGAGAAGUGUCUGGUUGAAUUUAAAGUUAAAAAAAAAUCUGAAACAAUUCUAUUCUAAUUUUUAGAGGGUGCGAGGAAUGUAUAGUAUGGAGGGGGGUUAUGGUCUAUGUAUAUAACUGGCCAAUAACCAAUCAAGUCACUAAGAUAAAAGGCCUUGGGUUGGGUUUAGUAAAAAGCGUAACCAAUCAAAUAAUCUCAAGGGAAAGUAUCAAAAGUUGUGUCAGUUUUUGUCAGGGUUUUGAAAGUGGUUUUGAGAAGCCACCAAUCAAUGCUGAGAUGGAACUCCAAUGGGGACACCGUUGUGCAAAUGUGUGAAAUGCAAGAUCAUCUGCAGGUGUGAAAAAGUCCUCUGAUAAAAUCGUUGAUGGGAUUAUUUGCAAAAACAGCAGAUGUCUGUACCAUGGUAGGAUACAUAAGCAUGAUUGGUAUGAUUCCGGAAGUAUCCUAAACUGGUGGAAGUUGAUGUAUACAAUCAGUGGUGCAUACAGGAGCUUCCUUGUACAGAUACACCAAGUUUCAUAGAGUGCAGCUCCAGCACACGUGCAGGACGUUUCUGGUGAGACCUUGAUUAUCUGGUUAAGGUGUAAAACCACAGGACAGUGGCCCUCCAAGAACAGCUUUAGACAGCCCUGCUCAUAAAAGUUCACAACUGCCUUGUGAUAAAUUCUUUCUGGUUUCCUAAAAAUACUGGUAUGACAAUCUUUUGAGCAUAUGAACUUAUUGACAUCAGAGCUAAUAUUUUAAUGGUCUGUUAAGCAUUCAAUGAUUCAACACUUAAGAUAUCAUAAAGUGAUGAUACAUGAUCUACAAUAGUGAUGAAACAUUUAAACCAAGGAAUUCGGAGCUCAUGUCGAAAAUAUGGUCAUUCCAGAUGAAGCCUCGAUUCGAAGUUUGUGUUGUUAACGUAGAAAUCAUGUGACCAAUAACAAACGAAACCUCACUUUCUGUUCAAUGAUGUGCGUGAUUCACUUUUGUGUGUCGAAGUGUUCGAAUCCCCAGAUCUUACUUUACCAGUGUGUUUUCAUUCGGACUUACUCAGUUACACUUUAAAUAACCAGUCAUAAAAAUAAUAUCGAAUAAAGCUAAUUAUUUCAGAGAAAAAAAUAUAUGUUUUUCAUAUGCAAUUCAUAAGUGUACAUUAUUCUUCUGUUAGGCUAAAUUGAUAUUUGUAAUGGCAUUAACUGCCACAGUUAUUGGUUAAAUGCAUUUAACAAAGAGAGAAAUUCAACACACACACACACACACACACACACACACACACUGUUUGGCUUUUAUUUGUGUACCGAUCUAUGGAACGUUUUGUGGCUGCUUCGUCCGUCGGAGCUUCUUUCACGGGCUUUUGCCUGUUUUAUUUUUUACUGACCACCAGAUGAGGCUGUUUUAUAGGCUCUAGAAGUUUUGAAUCUUUCCCCGAAACAGUCAGAGGAAAGUCUCGGUGCUUCACGAGGCUUCAACCAACCAUCACUAGUUCUCAACUCUGGUCCACAUUUUCUAGGCUAUGUCUUCUUUAUUUAACAUAGCUGAACUAACCAAUUUAGAUCUUCGGGAGCACUUGAUUAUUGUUGGAUCAGGGUCAAUAUCAAUAAAACAAAUAAAUAAAAUAUAAAAUAAUAAUAAAAAGUAUAAAUACAUUUCCAAAUCUAUGUUUUCUAAGCAUAACAUUUAGAUUUUUGUUUUUUACCAGAAUGCAGAAAAUAGCUAUAAUAUAUAUUCUCAUAUUUUAUUUAUGUUUCAGUUUAAGUUCAGAUUAUUAUUAUUAUUUUAUCGUAGUAGAGAUGCAUAGGCCUACUCUACUUGUUUAUAAACUUUUUUUUAGGCUAUCUGAAUAAGUACAAUAUAAAAUAAUUAUUAAUGAUUUACUUGCUGAAAUCUUUGUUUAUUCUUUUUUAAAAAGAAAAAUGUUAAGAGUAGCUAUAUUAGCCUAUUUUUAUGGUUUAAAUAUAAAACAAAUUUUUACAAGCAAAGGAUAAAAAAAAAAUCAGAUGAGGUGAAUUUGACAGAACAGUAAUAAGCUAUUCAUCAUAAGCUCCAUAAAAACUGAGAGAUGUCGAGCAUGCACUUUCAUUGCUUGUGGGCGUCAUCAGUCACUCUUGGCAUCCAAAAACUGAACAUGCAAUUAAUGUCUUCACAUGCUUGUGAUAAAGACCCUACUCACCAUUACUGAAGUCAUAAAGCACAUGCAUGCUUUGUAAUCAGAGAGAAUAGAAAACCUGCUAGCCAGCUUGCUGACAAUAAUGGAACUGUUGCCCAAAAUAUAUUUUUAUCCACACACACAAAAAAAAAAAAAAAAAAAAAAAAAAAAUGUACAAAAUGCGAAUUUUGUCCCGAAUUAGCAUUUUUUCCAAUUGAAACAGGACAUAUGGAGUUGAUGAAUCAUUAGGUCUUGUCCAAAUUGUUUAAUAGCCAAAUGAUUGAGUUUACAAUGCAUGCUUUUUACUUGCUAUUUCUAUUAUGGGGUCAGAGUUAAAGUGUUAACUAUAAUACACAGAAGGCAAGUUUUCAAGGUUACUAAAGAUAUUAAAUUUAUAUCUUCAGUGUUGAGGCUCAGCGGAUGCUAGGUGUGGUGCUUAUGCAGAUCAUAAGAGUACCAUUCUGACUCACAGAAUUUCCUGACCCCCAUUGCCUUUUAAGUGAAAGCUCUCUGGAAGAUAACUUUUUUUUUUUUUUUUUUAACAGAUGAACUAAAGUGAUUAUACCAUUGGGGUUCCUUUGUAACUGUCAUUCUCAGAAUAAAAUAAUAAUAAAAUAUUAUAAAAAAUAAAAAAAAAACCUGCCCCGUCCCCUUUGCACUAUAUUAACAGCUUGUUUUCCUUAAAGGAAAGAAAGAAACUAUCAAUCGCUUCUCUAAUCAUUUUGUAUUGUAUGUAUUUGUUUUCUUUUUUUAUUUAUUAUUCAAUUAACAAAAAAAGGAGAAAAAAACAAGCAAGUCUCUAACACCUAUUUUUUUCUUUUUCUUUUCUUUUUUUUCUUUUUGUUUAUUAUAUGAUUUUAAUAAACCCUUGCUACAUGUACUGCAUUAAGCCAACUGAGACUUGUCAUAGCACAUAUAUCAUUGCUCUUUUGUUGAUUCUGUUUGCUUCUAUUGUCCUUGUUUGUAAUUUGCUUUGGAUAAAAGCAUCUGCAAAAUGUCUAAAUGUAAUGAAAAUGUAAAAUGCAUCUUCAAGUAAUUUAAACAGAGAUGAAAAAAGUAAUUGAAACAAGUAAUUUUAAUGAUGGAAGAAAAGCGAUAACACCUUUUGCUCUGUGUUUCCUUUGAGGCUGUCAUUCUCAGAAUUCAUAUUUAUGUGUCACAUCCUCUUCAAUCUAGAGCUGAAGAAGAGUAGUAAAAGUGAGUCACACAAACCUUUAUUACAAAAGUAAUGGAAUCUAUUCUUUAUCAGAGGUGGCAACACAGAACUAACAAAUAUAACAAUCGAAAUAUUUUACAAAACGUACAUUAGGAGAAAACAUCCUGAUUUGUAUGCUGAUAUCUAUGAUGUACUUUAUACAAUGUGUUAUGUGUUACGACAUCUACUUAAAAUAUUAAAAAACAGAUUAAUAAAAUGAUAAACAAAACUGAGUUUGAUGUUACAGAGUUAUUAAUGAAGAUGAGAAAUAAAGCAAAUUAACGUGGAGCCUGUUUUCAGUUCCUGCUUGUGACACUAGACAACUCAGCAAAUGAUUCAUUGUUACAGUUAUAGCUGCUAUAAAAGGAGGAAUUGUUGAUGAAAAAAAACCAUCUACAGAAUUCUUUUUAUUUUUUAUUUUAAAUCAUAUAUAUAUAUAUAUAUUUUUUUUUUACCUCAAUAUGGAAUUCUUGGAAAAUAUAAAAGACAUAGAGCUUAUAGUUAAAAUGAAGCAAAAAUGGAAAAAAAUACUGCAAUUUUUGGAUAUUCUUCAUAUUUAAAACAUGCCUGUAGAUCUUUAACAAUACAGAAAAUUCAUGACAAAAUCUCCUCAAACAGAAUGGACGUUAAGACGGCAUUAGAAAAUGCAAAAAAAAAAAAAAAAAAAAGAAGAAGAAUAA